UCUGCCACUCCUGCUGACCUUGAGAAGACUGGUAACCUACCUGUGACUCCUCGAUUGAUCCUGCUUGGUCCAAGUGAUACUCAAGGGCAGUGGAUGAAACAAUGGAUGAUCAGCUUGGAGGGCAGAAUAAUCUGCGAGGGUGUGCAACCAACCUUUCUCUGUGGACUUGCUGCUUUGUUUUCACUGUAUUACAUCUUCAACCUGCAAUAUCAAGAGGAAGCAGCAUCCACACUGGAAUUCCUUCAAAGACGAUUUGUUGGAAUAAAUCCGGAAAAAGGGACCAAGGCUGCAAAAGGAAAAGUGACAUCUAAAAAGACUGGGAAAUCUGUUCAAAAGAAGACCAUGACAGUCAAUCUGAAAGUGUCAAAUCUUUUAAAAAGAUUGAUGGAC
This is a long non-coding RNA of Polypterus senegalus (gray bichir), 390 nucleotides long. RefSeq lists it as uncharacterized. The transcript is spliced from 3 exons. The record is from RefSeq and is a predicted model, not a curated record. NCBI's taxonomy places the organism in Eukaryota, Metazoa, Chordata, Cladistia, Polypteriformes, Polypteridae.